RNAcentral lists this ribosomal RNA (752 nucleotides) under Thermotoga sp. enrichment culture. RNAcentral's name for it is "bacterial SSU rRNA". It matches the Rfam family "Bacterial small subunit ribosomal RNA", at positions 638 to 1381 of the family's 1533-position model. The record is from RNAcentral. Lineage: Bacteria; Thermotogati; Thermotogota; Thermotogae; Thermotogales; Thermotogaceae.
GAGCUUGGGGCCGGUAGAGGGAGACGGAACUGCCGGUGUAGGGGUGAAAUCCGUAGAUAUCGGCAGGAACGCCGGUGGGGAAGCCGGUCUCAUGGGCCGCGCCCGACGCUGAGACCCGAAAGCUAGGGGAGCAAACCGGAUUAGAUACCCGGGUAGUCCUAGCCGUAAACGAUGCCCACUAGGUGUGGGGGAUUAAUUCCUCCGUGCUGUAGCUAACGCGUUAAGUGGGCCGCCUGGGGAGUACGCCCGCAAGGGUGAAACUCAAAGGAAUUGGCGGGACCCCGCACAAGCGGUGGAGCGCGUGGUUUAAUUGGAUGCUGAGCCAAGAACCUUACCAGGGCUUGACAUGCAGGUGGUACCGACCCGAAAGGGGAGGGACCCCAUCCUUUUGGAUGGGGAGCCUGCACAGGUGGUGCACGGCCGUCGUCAGCUCGUGCCGUGAGGUGUUGGGUUAAGUCCCGCAACGAGCGCAACCCCUGCCCUUAGUUGCCAUCGGUUCGGCCGGGCACUCUAAGGGGACUGCCGGCGACGAGCCGGAGGAAGGAGGGGACGACGUCAGGUACUCGUGCCCUUUAUGCCCUGGGCUACACACGCGCUACAAUGGGUGGUACAAUGGGUUGCGACCCCGCGAGGGGGAGCCAAUCCCUAAAACCACCCUCAGUUCGGAUCGCAGGCUGCAACCCGCCUGCGUGAAGCCGGAAUCGCUAGUAAUCGCGGAUCAGCCACGCCGCGGUGAAUACGUUCCCGGGGUU